AUGCAAGGAGACGGCGUACUGAGUACGCUUGUCUGGCUGACCGCCGUCGUCGGGUCGGCUGUCGCCAGUGAAGAACGCCAGGCGUGCGGACCACCGACGAACAAUCAGAGCAUCUUCGAUUUCUCUAUUCGGAACGUGUAUGACAACGCCACUAUCGACUUGAGUCAGUUUCGCGGGAAGCUGACGUUGGUAGUGAACGUUGCGACGUACUGAGGACACGUGUGGCAGUACCAUGGGUUGAAUGCACUACAGACCCAACAUGGUGCUGAAGGUCUCCAGAUUCUGGGAGUGCCUUGCAAUCAGUUCUACUUCCAAGAGCCUGCCUGGAACGGCGUGGAGUUGAUGAACGGGCUUAAGCACGUGCGUCCCGGGGGAGGUUUCGUGCCGAAUUUUCCUCUCGCUAAGAAGACGGAUGUAAACGGUCAGGAUGAACACGCGAUGUACAAAUAUCUCAAGUCCAUGUGCCCGUCCGUGGAAAGACGGGUGUACACCCCAAUCCUGUACAGCCCAGUUUACACCGAAGACGUCAAGUGGAACUACGAGAAGUUUCUCAUUGGUCCAGACGGAAGACCUAUUUAUAGAUACGCGCAAACAGUCGAACCCGCAACCGAUGCGCAGUUUUUAGCAGACGUCAAGGCGGAGCUUGACAAGUUGAAAGGUCACUCACAACAGCCAUCAAGUGCACCAAACGCACGUAUUCCCGCGGUUGGAUAACUCGUUACCAGUUAUUUAUUAAUGUCAACAAUACAAUAAUUAUUUUAUGUAUUUGUGUUAUAUGAUUAUUGUACGCUUUAUUAUUAGAAGCGCAUUUUGUUAUUAAUAUUAAUGUCGCGCAUGUUUGCGCGUCACUGCUUUAUUUUAUGUGCUUUAUUUUUAUGUGUUUAUUACUGUCUGUAUGAAUUGGAGGUCGGAAACAGUUCCCACUGUGGGCCUUCAUUGAUUCGUUGUCAUGGUUACACGUCUUUGUGCAUUCAGACUGUUGCCAUUUCAACGCGACAGUGUUUAAAAUAAACGCGUGCAAAAUAA
This is an RNA transcript of Dreissena polymorpha, 1026 nucleotides long. It is a transcript of the gene named glutathione peroxidase-like, with no coding region annotated. The record is from RefSeq and is a predicted model, not a curated record. NCBI's taxonomy places the organism in Eukaryota, Metazoa, Mollusca, Bivalvia, Myida, Dreissenidae. The transcript has 3 exons.